This 65-nucleotide transfer RNA is filed under the name Lamprigera yunnana. RNAcentral's name for it is "tRNA-Ser". Lineage: Eukaryota; Metazoa; Arthropoda; Insecta; Coleoptera; Lampyridae. The record is from RNAcentral.
AGCUUAUGAACUUGAAAAAGUAUAUAUUUUGAAAAUAUAAGAAAAGAAUGAUCUCUUAUUAGCUU